CCCUUAGAUGUUCUGGGCCGCACGCGCGCUACACUGAUGACGGCAACGAGUCGAUUCGAUCCUGAACCGGCGGGUUUGGGUAAUCUUUUCAAACGUCAUCGUGCUGGGGAUAGAUGCUUGUAAUUUUUCAUCUUAAACGAGGAAUUUCUAGUAAGCGUAAGUCAUCAUCUUACGUUGAUUACGUCCCUGCCCUUUGUACACACCGCCCGUCGCUCCUACCGAUUGAAUGGUUCGGUGAAAUCUUUGGAGCGGAGGAUUUCGGUACACUCGUGGUACCUGUUCGCCGCAAAAUUGAUUAAACCUAAUUAUUUAGAGGAAGGAGAAGUCGUAACA
Molecule: ribosomal RNA, 333 nt
Filed under: uncultured eukaryote
Lineage: Eukaryota
Description: partial 18S ribosomal RNA
Rfam family: Eukaryotic small subunit ribosomal RNA
Source: RNAcentral